Molecule: ribosomal RNA, 809 nt
Filed under: uncultured bacterium
Lineage: Bacteria
Description: bacterial SSU rRNA
Rfam family: Bacterial small subunit ribosomal RNA
Source: RNAcentral
AGAGUUUGAUCCUGGCUCAGAUUGAACGCUGGCGGCAUGCUUUACACAUGCAAGUCGGACGGCAGCACAGAGAAGCUUGCUUCUUGGGUGGCGAGUGGCGAACGGGUGAGUAAUAUAUCGGAACGUACCGAGUAAUGGGGGAUAACUAAUCGAAAGAUUAGCUAAUACCGCAUAUUCUCUGAGGAGGAAAGCAGGGGACCUUCGGGCCUUGCGUUAUUCGAGCGGCCGAUAUCUGAUUAGCUAGUUGGUGGGGUAAAGGCCUACCAAGGCGACGAUCAGUAGCGGGUCUGAGAGGAUGAUCCGCCACACUGGGACUGAGACACGGCCCAGACUCCUACGGGAGGCAGCAGUGGGGAAUUUUGGACAAUGGGCGCAAGCCCGAUCCAGCCAUGCCGCGUGUCUGAAGAAGGCCUUCGGGUUGUAAAGGACUUUUGUCAGGGAAGAAAAGGCUGUUGCUAAUAUCGACAGCUGAUGACGGUACCUGAAGAAUAAGCACCGGCUAACUACGUGCCAGCAGCCGCGGUAAUACGUAGGGUGCGAGCGUUAAUCGGAAUUACUGGGCGUAAAGCGAGCGCAGACGGUUACUUAAGCAGGAUGUGAAAUCCCCGGGCUCAACCUGGGAACUGCGUUCUGAACUGGGUGACUAGAGUGUGUCAGAGGGAGGUAGAAUUCCACGUGUAGCAGUGAAAUGCGUAGAGAUGUGGAGGAAUACCGAUGGCGAAGGCAGCCUCCUGGGAUAACACUGACGUUCAUGCUCGAAAGCGUGGGUAGCAAACAGGAUUAGAUACCCUGGUAGUCCACGCCCUAAA